GGUGAGGUAACGGCUCACCAAGGCGACGAUGGGUAGCCGACCUGAGAGGGUGAUCGGCCACACUGGAACUGAGACACGGGUCCAGACUCCUACGGGAGGCAGCAGUGGGGAAUAUUGGGCAAUGGGCGCAAGCCUGACCCAGCAACGCCGCGUGAGGGAAGAAGGUCUUCGGAUUGUAAAACCUCUGUCCCUUGGGGGACGAAAAAAAAUGACGGUACCCCAAGGAGGAAGCUCCGGCUAACUACGUGCCAGCAGCCGCGGUAAUACGUAGGGAGCGAGCGUUGUCCGGAAUUACUGGGGCGUAAAGGGUGCGUUAGGCGGCUUGGCAAGUCAGAUGUGAAAUCCCUGGGCUUAACUCGGGGAGUUGCAUUUGAAACUGCUAGGCUUGAGUGCAGGAGAGGAAAGCGGAAUUCCUAGUGUAGCGGUGAAAUGCGUAGAUAUUAGGAGGAACACCAG
Molecule: ribosomal RNA, 456 nt
Filed under: uncultured bacterium
Lineage: Bacteria
Description: bacterial SSU rRNA
Rfam family: Bacterial small subunit ribosomal RNA
Source: RNAcentral